Molecule: ribosomal RNA, 424 nt
Filed under: uncultured bacterium
Lineage: Bacteria
Description: bacterial SSU rRNA
Rfam family: Bacterial small subunit ribosomal RNA
Source: RNAcentral
UGGGGAAUAUUGGACAAUGGGGGCAACCCUGAUCCAGCAACGCCGCGUGGGGGAUGAAGGUCUUCGGAUUGUAAACCCCUGUUGGGAGGGACGAAGGUUCGAGGGCGAACAGUCCUCGCGCUUGACGGUACCUCCAGAGGAAGCCCCGGCUAACUCUGUGCCAGCAGCCGCGGUAAUACAGAGGGGGCGAGCGUUAUUCGGAAUUAUUGGGCGUAAAGGGCGCGUAGGCGGCCGAGCAAGUCUUGGGUGAAAUCCCUCGGCUCAACCGAGGAACUGCCUUGGAAACUGCUCGGCUGGAGGCCGGGAGAGGAUGGUGGAAUUCCCAGUGUAGCGGUGAAAUGCGUAGAUAUUGGGAGGAACACCAGUGGCGAGGGCGGCCAUCUGGACCGGUCCUGACGCUGAGGCACGAAAGCGUGGGGAGCAA